UCCUUGGUGGUCCAGUGGUUAGGACUGGGUGCUUUCACUGCUGAAGGCCCAGAUUCGAUCCCUGGUCGGGGAA
Molecule: transfer RNA, 73 nt
Filed under: Ovis aries (sheep)
Lineage: Eukaryota; Metazoa; Chordata; Mammalia; Artiodactyla; Bovidae
Rfam family: tRNA
About the family: Transfer RNA (tRNA) molecules are approximately 80 nucleotides in length. Their secondary structure includes four short double-helical elements and three loops (D, anti-codon, and T loops).
Source: Rfam by way of RNAcentral